UGCUCCAUACUAUCCACCCGCUGAGUUAGAUCUUCCAACUGAAGCUUUUCAGCUGACCGCUGCUGCUUGCUCACUACAACACUUGCCUCAAGUGCAGCUUUGUCUCGUGCAAGCCUAUCUAUUUCUUCNNNNNNNAUGCUGCUCUUUCAGGAUCCACCAAAGACCCCUGAGGGUGACUAUGACUGUGAAUUGGUUUCCUUCUGUGGAUAUUUUUGAGAAGAUGAUUUUGAUCUUUCACAAAAUCUUCAUUGGCAAAUUCCCAUCUCUCAGGAUCAAUCUUUCUGAAUCCAUAUGUAUUUAAUUGCCUGAUGAAGCUGGAGAAAUUGUUGUGCUUGAAGUAAGUAGGAAGGAGGAGUCGAGCGAAUUCUGGAGGAUUCCAUACCACGAAGCUGUUCUUGUUCGAGCUCCACGACACGAUCUCAUCCGUCGACGAGUCAUCCACCAUAUCGUACGUCUUCAAUAAGAACGGUGCCGGUCCUCCGCCUCCUCCGCCCAACACGGCGGAGGAGGCUGAGCUUGGGGCCACUUCCAUUUGACUCUCUCUGACUUUGGAAUUAAUAAUUUUGCAAUUAGAGAUAGGAUAAUCGAGGGAUUAAUAGAAUUGGAGGUAUGUGGAUCCAAUUGAGAACAAACCCUAGCUCAGCUUUAGAGGGAAAAUAGGGAGAUGAUCGAGAAGGGAGACAGAUAAUUGAAGGAAAAUUCGGAC
This 706-nucleotide unclassified non-coding RNA is filed under the name Hevea brasiliensis (rubber tree). The record is from RNAcentral. Lineage: Eukaryota; Viridiplantae; Streptophyta; Magnoliopsida; Malpighiales; Euphorbiaceae.